Molecule: small RNA, 810 nt
Filed under: Arabidopsis thaliana (thale cress)
Lineage: Eukaryota; Viridiplantae; Streptophyta; Magnoliopsida; Brassicales; Brassicaceae
Description: ATSL269520
Source: RNAcentral
CUAAGGCAAAGCCUCAUACAGACUUUAGCUAUACCAUCAAAGCCUUGAGAAGCAACAAGAAGCUUGGUUAGUGUUUUGGAGUCAAAUAUUACUAAAUGUCAUGUGUAUGAGUGAGUAUGACAACUAGAACCAUAACCGGAUCUUAAAAACCUAAGUAUUGAAUCUUUGUUAGAAGAUACAAAGACAAAGACUCAUACGGACUUCGACUACACUAUCAAAGCUUUGAGAAGCAAGAAGAAGCUUGGUUAGUGUUUUGGAGUGAAAUCUAACUAGAUGUCAUGUGUAUGAGUGAGUAUAAAAACUAGAACCGCAACGGAUCUUAAAAGCCUAAAUAUUGUAUCCUUGUUAGAAAAUACAUAGACAAAGUCUCAUACGGAAUUCGGCUAAACCAUCAAAGCUUUUAGAAGCAAGAAGAAGCUUGGUUAGUGUUUUGGAGUGAAAUCUAACUAGAUGUCAUGUGUAUGAGUGAGUAUACCAACUAGAACCACAAUUGGAAUUUUAAAAGCCUAAGUAUUAUAUCCUUGUUAGAAGAUACAAAGACAAACACUCAUACGGACUUUGGCUACACCAUCAAAGCUUUGAGAAGCAAGAAGAAGCUUGGUUAGUGUUUUGGAGUCGAAUAUGACUUGAUGUGAUGUGUAUGAUUGAGUAUAAGAAAUUAAACCGCAACCGGAUCUUAAAAGCCUAGGUAUUGUUUCCUUGUUAGAAGAAACAAAGGCAAAGCCUCAUACAAACUUUAGCUUUACCAUCAAAGCCUUGAGAAGAAAGAAGAAGCUUGGUUAGUGUUUUGGAGUCAAAUAUUACUAGAUC